GAUGAACGCUGGCGGCGUGCCUAAUACAUGCAAGUCGAGCGAACGGACGAGAAGCUUGCUUUUUUGAUGUUAGCGGCGGACGGGUGAGUAACACGUGGAUAACCUACCUAUAAGACUGGGCUAACUUCGGGAAACCGGAGCUAAUACUGCAUAAUAUUUUGAACCGCAUGGUUCAAAAGUGAAAGACGGUUUUGCUGUCACUUAUAGACGGACCCGCGCUGCAUUAGCUAGUUGGUAAGGUAACGGCCUACCAAGGCAACGACGCAUAGCCGACCUGAGAGAGUGAUCGGCCACACUGGAACGGAGACACGGUCCAGACUCCUACGGGAGGCAGCAGUAGGGAAUCGUCCGCAAUGGGCGAAAGCCUGACGGAGCAACGCCGCGUGAGUGAUGAAGGUCUUCGGAUCGUAAAGCUCUGUUAUUAGGGAAGAACAUAUGUGUGUGUAACUGUGCACAUCUUGACGGUACCUAAUCAAAAAGCCACGGCUAACUACGUG
RNAcentral lists this ribosomal RNA (497 nucleotides) under uncultured bacterium. RNAcentral's name for it is "partial 16S ribosomal RNA". It matches the Rfam family "Bacterial small subunit ribosomal RNA", at positions 28 to 507 of the family's 1533-position model. The record is from RNAcentral.